RNAcentral lists this unclassified non-coding RNA (378 nucleotides) under plant metagenome. RNAcentral describes it as "partial contains 5.8S ribosomal RNA, internal transcribed spacer 2, and large subunit ribosomal RNA". The stretch from base 1 to 105 matches the Rfam family "5.8S ribosomal RNA", at positions 50 to 154 of the family's 154-position model. The record is from RNAcentral.
GAAAUGCGAUAAGUAAUGUGAAUUGCAGAAUUCAGUGAAUCAUCGAAUCUUUGAACGCACCUUGCGCUCCUUGGUAUUCGUUGGAGCAUGCCUGUUUGAGUAUCAUGAAAUCUUCAAAGUAAAUCUUUUGUUAACUCAAUUGGUUUCUACUUUGGUAUUGGAGGUCUUUGCAGCUUCACACCUGCUCCCCUUUGUUCAUUAGCUGGAUCUCAGUGUUAUGCUUGGUUCCACUCGGCGUGAUAAGUUAUCUAUCGCUGAGGACACUGUAAAAGGUGGCCAAGGUAAAUGCAGAUGAACCGCUUCUAAUAGUCCAUUGACUUGGACAAUACUUUUAUGAUCUGAUCUCAAAUCAGGUAGGACUACCCGCUGAACUUAAGC